This is a non-coding RNA of Myotis lucifugus (little brown bat), 75 nucleotides long. The record is from Rfam. NCBI's taxonomy places the organism in Eukaryota, Metazoa, Chordata, Mammalia, Chiroptera, Vespertilionidae.
GGCGGUUCUUGGGUGAUGCACCCCGGAAUCAGGCUCCCUCCUCUCUGGUUCUGGGUGCGUCACCCGAGCACCACC